AACGAACGCUGGCGGCAGGCCUAACACAUGCAAGUCGAGCGAACCCUUCGGGGUUAGCGGCGGACGGGUUAGUAACGCGUGGGAAUAUACCCUUUGGUACGGAAUAGCCUCGGGAAACUGAGAGUAAUACCGUAUGUGCCCUUCGGGGGAAAGAUUUAUCGCCAAAGGAUUAGCCCGCGUUGGAUUAGAUAGUUGGUGGGGUAAUGGCCUACCAAGUCUACGAUCCAUAGCUGGUUUGAGAGGAUGAUCAGCAACACUGGGACUGAGACACGGCCCAGACUCCUACGGGAGGCAGCAGUGGGGAAUCUUAGACAAUGGGCGCAAGCCUGAUCUAGCCAUGCCGCGUGGACGAUGAAGGCCUUAGGGUUGUAAAACUCUUUCGCUGGGGAAGAUAAUGACGGUACCCAGUAAAGAAACCCCGGCUAACUCCGUG
This 433-nucleotide ribosomal RNA is filed under the name uncultured bacterium. Its description in RNAcentral is "bacterial SSU rRNA". It matches the Rfam family "Bacterial small subunit ribosomal RNA", at positions 29 to 507 of the family's 1533-position model. The record is from RNAcentral.